AGUGAACGCUGGCGGUAGGCCUAGCACAUGCAAGUCGAACGGCAGCACAGUAAGAGCUUGCUCUUACGGGUGGCGAGUGGCGGACGGGUGAGGAAUACAUCGGAAUCUACUUUUUCGUGGGGGAUAACGUAGGGAAACUUACGCUAAUACCGCAUACGACCUACGGGUGAAAGCAGGGGAUCUUCGGACCUUGCGCGAUUGAAUGAGCCGAUGUCGGAUUAGCUAGUUGGCGGGGUAAAGGCCCACCAAGGCGACGAUCCGUAGCUGGUCUGAGAGGAUGAUCAGCCAAACUGGAACUGAGACACGGUCCAGACUCCUACGGGAGGCAGCAGUGGGGAAUAUUGGACAAUGGGCGCAAGCCUGAUCCAGCCAUACCGCGUGGGUGAAGAAGGCCUUCGGGUUGUAAAGCCCUUUUGUUGGGAAAGAAAAGCAGCAGGUUAAUACCCCGCUGUUCUGACGGUACCCAAAGAAUAAGCACCGGCUAACUUCGUG
RNAcentral lists this ribosomal RNA (492 nucleotides) under uncultured bacterium. RNAcentral's name for it is "partial 16S ribosomal RNA". It matches the Rfam family "Bacterial small subunit ribosomal RNA", at positions 29 to 507 of the family's 1533-position model. The record is from RNAcentral.